UACGUAGGGGGCGAGCGUUGUCCGGAUUUAUUGGGCGUAAAGAGCUCGUAGGCGGCUUGGCAAGUCGGGUGUGAAACCUCCAGGCUCAACCUGGAGACGCCACUCGAUACUGCCAUGGCUAGAGUCCGGUAGGGGACCACGGAAUUCCUGGUGUAGCGGUGAAAUGCGCAGAUAUCAGGAGGAACACCAACAGCGAAGGCAGAUCUCUGGGACGUAACUGACGCUGAGACGCGAAAGCGUGGGGAGCAAACAGG
Molecule: ribosomal RNA, 254 nt
Filed under: uncultured bacterium
Lineage: Bacteria
Description: partial 16S ribosomal RNA
Rfam family: Bacterial small subunit ribosomal RNA
Source: RNAcentral